CGAGCUUGAUGUGUCAUCCAAUAAGGAAGUGGGAGGUGUGGUCCACCUGCUGGUCUCCGCCCUCCCUGCGACACAAAUGAGGAGGCUGCCAUUCAACAGCUGCUACAUGAGCAACGAGUCCUUCACUGCUCUGGCCUGAAAUGGUGAAAACUUUGUGUUUAUGCAUCAGCCCUGGCGGUGUCCUAUCUGCGCACGGUGGAUAUUUCCUGGUGUAAAGUGGUUGGCGGUCACUUGGCGCUCCUGCUGGAUGCUCUGCAGCCAUCAGUCGUCAGCGAGCUCCGUCUUUGCAGCUGCGAGCUCACCACUGAUGACAUGCAACAUCUGGCUGCCGUGUGCAGACGGGGCUGUCUCUCCUCACUCCGUGCACUGGAUCUGUCCUACAACAGCUUGGUGGGAGACAACGGUUGGUGCAGUCU
Maylandia zebra (zebra mbuna) is the source of this 416-nucleotide long non-coding RNA. RefSeq lists it as uncharacterized. The record is from RefSeq and is a predicted model, not a curated record. NCBI's taxonomy places the organism in Eukaryota, Metazoa, Chordata, Actinopteri, Cichliformes, Cichlidae.